This 496-nucleotide ribosomal RNA is filed under the name uncultured bacterium. RNAcentral's name for it is "bacterial SSU rRNA". It matches the Rfam family "Bacterial small subunit ribosomal RNA", at positions 28 to 537 of the family's 1533-position model. The record is from RNAcentral.
GAUGAACGCUAGCGGCAGGCCUAACACAUGCAAGUCGAGGGGCAUCGCGGUGCAGCAAUGCACUGGCGGCGACCGGCGUACGGGUGCGUAACGCGUAUGCAACCUGCCCCGCACCGGGGGAUAGCCCGCCGAAAGGCGGAUUAAUACCCCAUGGUCCCGGGGGCCCGCAUGGGCAUCCGGGUAAAGCCUUGGCGGUGCGGGAUGGGCAUGCGUGCCAUUAGCUGGCUGGUGGGGUAACGGCCCACCAGGGCAACGAUGGCUAGGGGGUCUGAGAGGAUGGUCCCCCACACUGGUACUGAGACACGGACCAGACUCCUACGGGAGGCAGCAGUGAGGAAUAUUGGACAAUGGGCGCAAGCCUGAUCCAGCAAUGCCGCGUGAGUGAUGAAGGCCUUAGGGUUUAAAGCUCCUUUACCAGGGAUGAUAAUGACAGUACCUGGAGAAUAAGCUCCGGCUAAACUCCGUGCCCAGCAAGCCGCGGUAAAACUCGUCUCUA